UUGGCAUGAGCGAAACAAGAGAUGGUUUGGUAAAGAGGUGACUUCAGGAGAGUACUUGCUCAGUAAAAUUAUCUCUUGGUGGGAGUUAUUUGAGCCUUUGAGGGUGCUAAUAAAAAGAAAUUGAGGAAGGACAAAGGAAGGAGGUUGCUGCUAGAGAGAGAGGUGCGAUUCGGUGGGUGAAACCUAGAAGUGGAGUGGUGAAGCUGAACAUAGACGGGGCAUUGGAUUCUAAAAGAGGAGUCUAUGGUACGGGGGCUGUGUGUCGGGAUGAGAAUGGCAGUUGAUUGGGUCUGCUAGCAGUGCCGGGAACAGGCUUCCUAAUUAAGUCCUCAUGAUGUUGAGGUACUGGCCCUAGUCCACGGACUUCAAUUCUGUGUUCAGACCGGAUUUUCUUAUCUGGAAAUUAAUUGAAGGCGAUGCCUUGAAUGUCUUUGCAGGAUUGGAUGAGUCUCUAGCUGACCUCAUAUAUAUGGACGAAGCUAAAAGUCUGAUUGGCUGUUUUGAGGUGUGUUCCAAGAGGCUGCAAUAGAGUAGCUCAUGAGGCUGUAAAAAUUGCAGUAGCUCUACCAUAUCCUACGGCAACCAAUGGCGGACCUAAGAUUUUAGCUUAGGGUGGGCUGAAAUUUUUUUCUUUAAAAUUUUUUAAUUUUUUUCUUCUAUAUUUUACAUAGAGUGCGGCUAUUGGAACCUCCAAAUUUACUCAGUUAACCUCACUUUAUUAUGAGUUAUUGUAUGUCAGAUAUGUCCUCUUACAUAAUGACUAUUAAGGACAAUAACAAAAAGAAGUAAUAUAUUUAUUUUCUCUAGA
This 808-nucleotide long non-coding RNA is filed under the name Fragaria vesca (wild strawberry). RNAcentral's name for it is "long non-coding RNA (FVES_LNC000526)". Lineage: Eukaryota; Viridiplantae; Streptophyta; Magnoliopsida; Rosales; Rosaceae. The record is from RNAcentral.